UACGACCACUUCAGAUUCAAACACAGGUUCCCGUACGAUCACCGAAGUUAAGCAACGUCGAGCCUGGUCAGUACCUAGAUGAGUGACCGCGUGGGAAUACCAGGUGUUGUAUG
Molecule: non-coding RNA, 113 nt
Organism: Acanthosepion pharaonis
Lineage: Eukaryota; Metazoa; Mollusca; Cephalopoda; Sepiida; Sepiidae
Source: the annotation of a GenBank genome assembly